UUCCAAAGUGUUGAGUUCAGCUCAGGGCAGCUUCCCUGAUCUGUUAAUUAAACUUUGGGACAUUGAAACGGGCUAGGGAAAAUGAAUGGAUAGAAAACAUUUCUUUAUUCAUUUAUUUCCCAGCCUACAGAA
Small nucleolar RNA from Loxodonta africana (African savanna elephant), 132 nucleotides. NCBI's taxonomy places the organism in Eukaryota, Metazoa, Chordata, Mammalia, Proboscidea, Elephantidae. The record is from Ensembl.